CCAAUAGCGUAUAUUAAAGUUGUUGCAGUUAAAAAGCUCGUAGUCGAAUUUCGGGACCAAUCUGCCGGUCGUGCCUCCGGUACGCACUGGUUUUAUUGGUUUCUCCCUUCUGACGAACCAUGAUGUCAUUAAUUUGGUGUCAUGGGGAAUCAGGACUGUUACUUUGAAAAAAUUAGAGUGUUUAUAGCAGGCUCACGCUUGAAUACAUUAGCAUGGAAUAAUGAAAUAGGACGUUUGACCCUAUUUUGUUGGUUUCUAGGAUCGACGUAAUGAUUAAUAGGGAUAGUUGGGGGCAUUAGUAUUCAAUUGUCAGAGGUGAAAUUCUUGGAUUUAUUGAAGACUAACUACUGCGAAAGCAUUUGCCAAGGAUGUUUUCAUUAAUCAAGAACGAAAGUUAGGGGAUCGAAGACGAUCAGAUACCGUCGUAGUCUUAACCAUAAACUAUGCCGACUAGGGAUCGGAUGAUGUUAAUUUUUUAAUGACUCAUUCGGCGCCUUACG
Molecule: unclassified non-coding RNA, 500 nt
Filed under: uncultured Glomus
Lineage: Eukaryota; Fungi; Glomeromycota; Glomeromycetes; Glomerales; Glomeraceae
Description: SSU rRNA
Rfam family: Eukaryotic small subunit ribosomal RNA
Source: RNAcentral